ACAAGGGAUUCAGUUGCAUGGCAUUGCAAUGGCUGUUCAUUUGCCUAAAAAGCAUAUGAAGUAAGGGCUGGGUAAGACGGGUGCCAGCCGCCGCGGUAAUACCCGCAGCCCGAGUGGUGAUCGUUAUUAUUGAGCCUAAAGCGUCCGUAGCUGGUUCGUUAAAUCCUUGGGUAAAUCGGAUAGCUCAACUAUUCGAAUUCCGAAAAGACUGGCGAACUUGGGACUGGGAGAGGUCAGAGGUACUCCGGGGUAGGGGCUAAAUCCUGUAAUCCUUGGGGGACCACCAGUGGCGAAGGCGUCUGACUAGAACAGAUCCGACAGUAAGGGACGAAGCCCUGGGUCGCAAACCGGAUUAGAUACCCGGGUAGUCCAGGGUGUAAACGCUGCUUGCUUGAUGUUAGUUGGGCUCCGAGCCCAACUAGUGUCAGAGAGAAGUUGUUAAGCAAGCUGCCUGGGAAGUACGGUCGCAAGGCUGAAACUACAAGGGAUUACAAGGGAUUCACA
RNAcentral lists this ribosomal RNA (504 nucleotides) under uncultured euryarchaeote. Its description in RNAcentral is "bacterial SSU rRNA". It matches the Rfam family "Archaeal small subunit ribosomal RNA", at positions 370 to 880 of the family's 1478-position model. Lineage: Archaea; Methanobacteriati; Methanobacteriota. The record is from RNAcentral.